Molecule: long non-coding RNA, 15593 nt
Filed under: Cicer arietinum (chickpea)
Lineage: Eukaryota; Viridiplantae; Streptophyta; Magnoliopsida; Fabales; Fabaceae
Description: long non-coding RNA (CARI_LNC001907)
Source: RNAcentral
UCUAGUGGAACUGACUUAAAUGACGUAUUUUAAAUAAAAUUAUUAUGGAUGAGAUUUUUGAAAGAAAAAAAAAAAUCAUCUAAAUAUUUUUGGUGAACUAAUUGUAAAUUUUAAUUAAUUGCAGGUAAUUUAUCUAUAAUUUUUCAAAAAAAACCUAACACUCACCCUAGAAUAAUUUUAUCAAUCAUGUCUUAAUAUUGGGAAUUGAUCUCAAGUUUCUAAUGUGGAAUCUAAAUCAUUCAUUAAUUAUAUUUGAUGUGAUCAGAAUUAUUAAAAGAAAAUGGAAUCGUGGAGAUUUUCGUUGGACUUCCUCAAAUGAAAAUUCCAAUGGUGAAAAUUUGACUCCCCUCAAUACCACAUUGGUAUGUUACCGUAUAAACUAUUUGUAUUUUUAUUUACGCCUAAAAGAAGUUUAGAGUGCCACUUCAGUCAACAAUGACAUAUAUAAAGUUGGAAAAUUGAACUUUGUACUCCACGUUUAGACUCAUAUUCUCACAUAUGUAAUUUUUGUCCAUGAUCUUCUUAAAAUAUCCUCAUAGUCGACACUUAAAAUUAAAAAAAUUAAAUAACUAAUUCACACAUACAUCCUUUCAAAAAUUCAGAAAAAAGUAAUUUUUUUUCUUUAAGAAAUCUAUCUUUGAAUUUUUCAGUAGUAAUUUAAAUUCAAAAUGUAUCUUUUGAUAGUUAUUUUCUACUUAAAAAAUUUAUUUUUAAAUUUUCCAAUUAACAAUAUAACUACAAAAAAAUUUAUUUUUUAAAAUUUUCAGUUCAAAAAAUAACCACCCAAAAUUUUAAAAACAAAAAAUAUAAUAAGUAAAAAAGUUUCUCAACUUUUCUUUUACUUCUAGAAAUUUCGAAACCGAAAAAAAAUAAUUACGCCAAUAAAUUUCUCAACUUUUUUUUAUCUCCAAAUUUUUUUCUUAUUGAAAAUUUUUAAAACAAUAAAUUUGGUAUAAAAAAAAAUCUCAAUUUUUCUUUUGUUUGUUCAAAAUUUAGAAAUUUUUUUUCCAUACUAGAAAUUUUGCAAAUGAAAAAUUUGGUAGACAACUCUUUUUUAAUAGUUUUUUUACCUAUUGAAAAUUUAGUACAUAAAAUUUUCUCAAUUUUUUUUUGUCCAAAAUUUUUUUAGUAGACAAUUUUUUUAAUAGGCAAAACUCUUUUUCAAUUUUUUUAACUAUCAAAAAUUUCAAAAUCGAUUUUUUUGUAUAUCAGAAAUUUUAAAAACAAAAAAAUUAAUAUGAAGUUAUUUUCUGAACUUUCUUUAUGUCUACCAAAAAUUCCCAAAAUGAAAAAUUUAAUACACAAAAAGUUUUCUAACUUUUUUUGCCAACCUAAAAUUUCAAAAAUAAUAUAUUUGAUAGACAAUUUUUUCGCAACUUCUUUUUGUCUUUCAGAAACUUUUUAAAACAAAAACUUUCAUAGAUAAAAAACAGAUUCAUAAGUAUUCAAUGAAAGAAAAGUAAAAGUAAAAAUAAUGAAAAUAAAAUUAUAUAUUUUUUAAAUUGACUUACAUCGAAGUGGAUAUCAAAUCUAAUUUUCAUAAAGUAGAAAACACUCGGUUAACAGACCCAAAUUAGAAUUAAUUUGGGCCUUAAAAGGUCCAACCAAAUCUGCUCCCAAAAUGAAUCUAAUUGGCAGUAUUAACAAAAAAAAGUUCAAUUAAGUAUCUUCGUAUUUUAAUUUUGACCGAAAAAUAAAUCUUACUAAUAUCUCAUUUUUAUUUUUCACGUGCACAAAUGAUAAUAUAGCAAAUAAAUCUUACUAGUUUUUAUGCAUGACUAAAGCGAUUAAUUCAACACUCCAGAUACUGCAGAACUUCUAUUUUGUUUUUUCGUAGUUCAAAGAGUAUUAUAGAAAAAGAAGUUUUGCCAAAAUUAUUUUUAAUUAUUUACUAUUGAGAGAAGAAUAAAUUAAGGGUAUUAUAAUAAAAAUAUAAACAACUUAAUCGAAUACUUUCAUUGGUAGUAUUAUAUUAAAGCGAUACGAAAAUAAAGAAAUGUACAUUUGUUUAAGGUCUUAGAUUGAUGUUUACUUCGACAUUUUGGACAUAUGUUGAGGCCUUUAAGUUCGCAAGCUCUUACAAAACCAUCUAAUUUGAAUACACCCGUCGCUUCUGUGAAUAAGACUACAAAUUACAAUACAGAUAUAAUGAGCAAUGUGUCAACUUCUGCGGAAGUGCUUGUUCGUGUCGAGAUCGUCAUAGGCUUUAUGACUGUUAUAGCAAUUAGCAACCAAGCACAAACAGCUCUUCAUUUAUCUUGCACGGGUCACCCAAAUUCGUACUACUAAGUUUUAGCAUUUGGAAAGUAUAACACACGUUUGUUAGGUUUUUUUAAUUCCUUGCUUGUUUUUCUUUUCAAGAACCAUGAGGUAUUAAUCAUAUUAAGCAAAAGGCGGAGUAUAAAUAGAAACUUAUACCAUGAUAGCCAACUGCAGAAAAUAAACUUAUACUAGCAUUCACAUUAAAACGGGAAAAUAAAGUACACUGAAAAAAAGCACCCUAAGCUAUCCAAAUCAAAACACACAUAAAGUUAUUCAAAAAGAGUCUUUGCAAAAUCAGAACCACCAAUUUCCAUCACCAACAUUCUGCUUAAUCAACUUCCUCAAUUUUGGGUCCAGCACCGCUUCCACUGCCAGUAGUAGGACCAUCCUCAUCCAUGGCUCCACCAGCAUCACCACCAGCACCCUGGUACAUCCUUGCAAUGAUAGGAUUGCAAAUUCCCUCCAAUUCCUUCAUCUUGUCCUCAAAUUCAUCAGCCUCUGCAAGCUGAUUUCCAUCAAGCCAUUGAAUAGCCUGGUCAAUAGCAUCUUCGAUCUUCUUCUUAUCAUCAGUUGACAACUUGGAGGCUAUCUUAUCAUCCUUGAUUGUGUUUCUCAUGUUAUAGGCAUAGUUCUCAAGUGCGUUUUUGGCCUCCACCUUCUUCUUGUGCUCCUCAUCCUCUGACUUGUACUUUUCAGCUUCCUGUACCAUCUUCUCAAUCUCCUCCUUGGAGAGCCUACCCUUGUCAUUGGUAAUUGUAAUCUUAUUCUUCUGUCCUGUUGUCUUGUCCUCCGCAGAGACAUUCAAAAUACCAUUUGCAUCAAUGUCAAAGCAAACAGUGAUCUGAGGAACACCCCUUGGAGCAGGAGGAAUACCCGACAAUUCAAACUUGCCCAACAAAUUAUUAUCACGGGUCCUCGUUCUUUCUCCUUCAUAUACCUGAAUCAAAACACCGGGUUGGUUAUCAGAGUAGGUUGAAAAUACCUGCUCCUUCUUGGUAGGAAUAGUUGUGUUUCUGGGAAUCAACACAGUCAUAACCCCUCCUGCAGUCUCCAAACCAAGGGAGAGAGGGGUAACAUCAAGCAACAACAGAUCCUGCACUUUCUCAUUGCCUUCGCCGCUCAAAAUAGCAGCUUGAACCGCAGCACCAUAAGCAACAGCCUCAUCAGGGUUGAUGCUCUUGCAAAGCUCCUUUCCAUUGAAGAAAUCCUGCAAAAGCUGUUGAACCUUGGGAAUCCUUGUUGACCCACCAACAAGAACAACAUCAUGAACGCUGUUCUUAUCCAUCUUAGCAUCCCUCAAACACUUCUCAACAGGCUCCAUACAUUUCCUAAACAGAUCCAUGUUGAGCUCUUCAAACCGAGCACGAGUAAUAGUAGUGUAAAAAUCAAUACCCUCAUACAAAGAAUCAAUUUCAAUGGUGGUUUGAGCUGUAGAGGAAAGAGUCCUCUUAGCCCUCUCACAUGCUGUUCUCAACCUCCUUAAAGCCCUAGGGUUUCCACUAAUAUCCUUCUUAUUUUUCCUCUUAAAUUCCUGAACAAAAUGAUUUACCAUCCUAUUAUCAAAAUCUUCACCUCCCAAAUGUGUAUCACCAGCAGUAGCUUUCACCUCAAAAAUACCUUCCUCAAUGGUGAGAAGCGAAACAUCAAAAGUCCCACCACCAAGAUCGAAAAUAAGAACAUUCUUCUCACCACUGCUGGUAGCUUUCUUAUCAAGUCCAUAAGCAAUAGCAGCAGCAGUAGGCUCAUUAAUGAUUCUCAUCACAUUGAGCCCAGAAAUAACACCGGCAUCCUUAGUAGCCUGACGCUGUGAAUCGUUGAAAUAAGCAGGCACAGUCACAACAGCAUUCUUCACCGUGGAACCGAGAUAAGCCUCAGCAAUCUCCUUCAUCUUCAUAAGAACCAUGGAAGAUAUCUCUUCCGCAGAAAACUGUUUUUCCUCUCCCUUGUAGUUCACCACAAUCAUUGGCUUCUCAGCAGGGCCAGGAAUCACCUUGAAUGGCCACAAUUUCAUGUCACUCUGUACUGAAGCAUCGCUAAUUCGCCUACCAAUUAAACGUUUAGCAUCUGCACACACGCCAAUUCAAACCAACACAUUCAACAAACGUUCCACUAUCAACGAUAUAAUUCACCAAAUAUUUUAUUACAGAGAAUUGGAAAAUUAAAAUAACACUAUAACAAAUCACGAUAUAUAAUUCAUUUUUAUACCCUAAUGUACAAAGACAAACAUUGUUACAGUAACUUGCUACAUACACAAAAACAGUGAAUUGAAUAAUUAAACCAACACUCUAAUAAACUACGAUGUUUAAGUCACAGAGUAACUUGAUCAGAAUAAAAACUGCGGAAAAUUAAGGUGUAAGAGGAUGAUUUUGAAAGUACUUACCGAAAACAGUGUUAGUAGGAUUCAUAGCGACCUGGUUCUUGGCUGCAUCACCGAUCAAGCGUUCUGUGUCGGUGAAUGCAACGUAAGAAGGGGUAGUUCUGUUCCCUUGGUCGUUGGCUAUAAUUUCAACGCGGUCAUGUUGCCAAACGCCGACGCAAGAAUAAGUUGUUCCCAAAUCGAUUCCGAUUGCCGGACCUUCACCUUUUCCAGCCAUAAUAAUCUCUCACAAAAUCGCGUUUCGAAUGAGAAAAAAGAAAUUAGUGUUUGUAGAAUACAGAAAAGAAUGAAUGAAAGCAAGUGUUAUUUUGUUUUUGAAACUGAAUUGAGUUGCAAGAGAGGGAAGUUCUGUGUUAAUAUAGGACAAGUUUGAUUUCUGGAAUGUUCGGUAUGGUGGUUUUUGAACCAUUGGAUUUGUGAUUUGGACGGUGGAUUAUUUGUUCCAUAAUUGUAUUUGUAAAAGCAGUUAUAGGAGGGCGGUGUGUGGGAUAUUCCAGCGUGGUCUAGGUGAUUCGAGAAAUUUCUGAUACGAAAUGUCACGCGUUGGAGUACCACGCGCUCAAACUAGCUGUUGGGUGUUGACGUGUGGCGGGGAGCUUGCGUCUCGCAUGAUUUUCUUUUAAAGUUUUCCCGCGCCAUUGGCUGUCGCCCUGGCAUUCUAUAUAACUAACCAAUUGGAUUUUACUUCAAAACUCUUGUUAUUGCACGAAUGCUUCGUUAUUCAUAUGUACAAGUACUACAUUUAAAUUUCAAACAAAAUUUUAAUUUUAUAAAUAAGUAUUUCUACAUAAAUUAUAGGUUUAGAUGAGUCGAUAUAAAAUUAUUUAUACUUUUUGUACGUAUUAUGUCAAUAGUCAGUAGUGUAUAUUAUAAACAUUUUUCUUUCAAAAAAUAUAAAUAAGCACAAUCUUAGACAUAACUAAUUAGAUAAAAAUCAUGAAUUAAGUGAAACUUAUGGUUUUAAAUUCAAAAUAAUUUUGAUUAGAUUUUAUGAAAUAUAUUUAAAUUUAAAUUAACUACAAAAAUAAAACUUAAAUUUAUGUAUGUAACAAAUGAUUUAAAAAAUUAAUUAGAUAAUAAUAAAAUAAAAUAAUUAAAAUUUUAAAUAGAUGAUUAACUUGCCACAAAUCAUAAUUUUUAUAAUCUGUCUCAUAUAAAGGGGACAUUAUUAUUUUCUUUUUUACUCAACCACAUAAUUUUUUUUAAAUAACUGUAUAAUUUUGUUACUUUUGUUAUUUUAUUUGAUAAAUAUUAACCAUUGAGAUACUUAGUAAAAACUAUAUUUAAUAGGUAAAAAAAAAAUGUCAGAUAACAUUUUAUGAUAACUAAUCAAAGAAAUCUUUCGAAAGAUCAUUUUAAUAACUCAGAGCUUCAAAAUCAUCACAAACUGAAACAUUAACAUCAAACGUGAACUUAACAUUUCGAAAUUCAAGUCAAUAUAACUCAUGUUUUCAAAGAGAUGUUUGAAAGAAUUAAGACUUACAGUGAGAGAUGAGGAUGUUGAAGUAUAUACUAUGAAGUUAAGAGGGAAAGUGAUUAUGUAUUUAUUUUGCUUUUCUGACAAAUAAAAAUUUUAUAAUUAUUUUUAUUACUUAUAAUUAUUUUAUAUUUGAUUGGUUAUGUCUAACUAUUAAUGAUUAGGUGAGUGUUCAAGAAUUUCUCCCAAAAUUAUAUUAUUUUAUGGUAUCACUAAAUUAUUAAUUAUUAAUGUUUAUUUUGCUAUUAAACCUUUUACUAUGUAUUACUUUGUUUUUUUUUCCAAUUUUUUAAAUUUAUUUUUCUUAUAUCAUUAAUGAACGAUAUUUUAUAAAAAUUACUCAUAAUUUCUUUUUUUAUAUAACAUUGAUAAAAUAUCUUAAUUGAUGUGAAAUUGGAAAAAUGACAUAUAAUUUGACAUAAACAAAGUAUUAAUACAAAAAUACUUUUACAAAAUUUGCACUAUGUAAUUAAAUUUAAGAUAAUAUGUUUAACAUCAAAUUAAUUACAUCAAUAACUUAUUAUUUAGAAUGUUAAAAAAAUCAUUUGGUGAAAUAUGUUUAUGAUAAUUAUCACUGCUUUUGUCCCACAAUAUUUGUUUGGUAACUUCAAUUUAUUUAUGGAAAUAAUAUAUGUUUCCAAAACAAAUGAUACAUUUUUACGGCAUUUACAUAAUUCAUAUUAUUAGUAAGUAAUCCAAAAUAGAAAACAAAUUAGUCCAAAAAAAAAUGAAGUUAAACUAUUAUGAUAUACUAUUUUAAAAUGGUCAUCACAUGCAUGUUAUAUGUAGCAGACAAAUUUAAAAUAAAUAUUUUAAAAUGAUAAAAGUUGUUUAAUGUGCUUUACUUAUGCUUUAUUGUCCACUUAACAUGUUAAGUUUGAAUUUUCGUUGAAAGAUGUACCAACUUUAAUAUAUGAUAUAACUCAAAUAAGAUUAUAUUUGGUGAAGAUAACUUAUGGAAAACUAAAAAAACAUGUACUUAUGAAUGAAAUAAAUGUUUAAUGAUUUUCUAAUAUGUCACAUUUACUUUUUCAAGAUUUGUAUCGUAAUCUUUGUUUAUGGUGGAUACUAUUUUAUAAUAUUCUUAUAUUAUAAUCUUAAAUAGUUUAGAAUAUAAAGUAUGAUGUAUGUCAUUUGCAUGAUCAAAAAAUUUGUUUAAUAAAUCUAUGUUUUGAACAAAGGAAAGAAAAAGAAAAAGUUAGAGAAGAAAAUAAAACAUUUAUAUCAAAAAAGAAUUCCUCUCAUUUGUUACAUAUUGAAAAUGGAAAGAAAUAAGUAUAUUUGGUGGAAUCCACUCAGUCUUUCUUUUUCCUCAAAUUGAAAAUAUGUCUUUAGUGUCUGCAAAUAUACUACUUUUGAUUAGUCCUCGUAAGUUUUUUUUGUUUAAAUUUAGUCCGUGUAAAAUCAAAGACGGUUGAUUUUGGUCCCUAAUGUCAAAUCAAAAGUUAUAAAAAAAAUUGUCAAACUGCUGUGACACGGAAGAAGACGGGUUUUCUAAAACUCCUAAACCCCACUUUUAAUUUCUAUUCAUAUUUUUUUUACAAAAUAACACUAAUUAUUAAAAGAUAAUUAAUAAAUUUAUUAAUUAAUAAUAUAAAACAUUUUAAUUUUUAAUAUAUUACAAGAGAUGAUGUGCUGGUGUGCAUUUAUAGGGGCCACGUGUCUCGACNNNNNNNNNNNNNNNNNNNNNNNNNNNNNNNNNNNNNNNNNNNNNNNNNNNNNNNNNNNNNNNNNNNNNNNNNNNNNNNNNNNNNNNNNNNNNNNNNNNNNNNNNNNNNNNNNNNNNNNNNNNNNNNNNNNNNNNNNNNNNNNNNNNNNNNNNNNNNNNNNNNNNNNNNNNNNNNNNNNNNNNNNNNNNNNNNNNNNNNNNNNNNNNNNNNNNNNNNNNNNNNNNNNNNNNNNNNNNNNNNNNNNNNNNNNNNNNNNNNNNNNNNNNNNNNNNNNNNNNNNNNNNNNNNNNNNNNNNNNNNNNNNNNNNNNNNNNNNNNNNNNNNNNNNNNNNNNNNNNNNNNNNNNNNNNNNNNNNNNNNNNNNNNNNNNNNNNNNCGCUCUUUUUUUGUAACAUUGAUUUGACGUUGGAGACCAAAGUCGAUCAUCUCUAAUUUUACAAGGACUAAAUUUAAACAAAAAAACUUAUAAGAACUAAAAUAAAAAAGUGAUAUAUUUGCAGAGACCAAAGACAUAUUUAAACCUAAAUUAUAUAUAUCUUAAGAAUUUUUUUAAUUUUUAUAUUUAAGUUUAGUUGCAAUUUUAGUCCAUUUAUUUUAACUGCAUUACGAAAAUAGUAUUUCUAUUUUAUUUUUCCUUAAUUUUGGUCUCCAAAUAGAAUUUUGGUUUAAAACUUGAUGAAAUGACAUUUUUUAAUGAUGUAUCAAAAAAUCAAAUGAUUUGGACAAUUUCAUGUAGAUUAAUUACAUUUUAUUAUUAUUUCAAAUUUUUAAAACACAUUUCUUAUUUUAUUACAUCAUUUAAUUAUAUAAAAAAAAACAUAAAAAAGGACGAUUUUAAUCCUUAAUCCCUUGAGAACUCAAGAAGAUGAGUUCAGAAACCCUAGUCCUAAUUCAAUUCCAUCGUGUUCUUCUCCUCUUCACGAUUCAUCUUGUUUCUUAUCCUCUUCAUUCAAUUUCUCAUUCAUCAUGUUAUUUUGGAUCUUUUCUCAUAAAAUUAUGUUUUUGAUUUUCUUUCUAAUGGCGAGUAAAUAUAUAGCUGAUUUCGCUUUCAAUCUAUCUUCAUCAACGAAAGAAGAUACAAAGUUAUGUGUUAGGUUUGUGAUUUUAGGGUUUAUGUAUUUGUUAUUGCCUAUAUUUAAACAUUGAGAUCAAUAUGUCUCUGUUUAUGUAUUAGUAAUAUUUUAUUUUUCUUUUCUUUUUCGUUUUUCUUUUUCGUUUUGCUUUGUUGUUAACAGUAUUAAACUUUAUAUUCAAAAAAUUUGUCUAAAUUUUAGUGCUAAGAUUAUUAAACUCUAUUUUUUAUUUUAUAGUUAUGCCUUUUCAGUAAUGUGGUCAACAUGAAUUAGCUUAAGCGGAAUAUGAACCAGUUCAUGUUGAAGCUAAACAAGGAGCUGAUGAGAAUUAUGUGAGUGAAGAUAUGAGAAUUAUGAACAGGGAGCUGGUGAGGAUUAUGCAAGUGAAGAAGACGAGGAUUAUGUUGUUAAUUCAAAUGAUGAAGAUGGUGAUAUGGGUGAGUUCCAUGAGGGUGAAGAUUCUGACUGGUUUUAUGAAAUACCAACUAAGAUAUUUCUUAACAUUGUAAGAAAUGAAAAUUCAUUUGAAAGACUCGCAAACCCAGGGCCUAGUUCUGCAACUAAUUUUGAAGAAAAUUAUGUGAAUUCUGAUUAUUUGGAUAAUCCACCAGGAAGCGAUGUUGAUGAAAAGGAUGUCAGGAAAUUUUCUAACUUUAACCAACCUAAAAAUAGUGAUGAAGUAAGGUUUAAGGUAGACAUGAAAUUCAAUACAAAAGCGAUGAUUAAGAAUGCUAUUAAAAACUUUGCGACGGAGACUGAGAAAAACUUGUAUUUCAACAAGAAUGAUGGAGAUAGAUAAUGAUUGUUAGGUGUGAGCUAGAAUUUCUAUUUCACAUGAGGAUUAGUAAGAGAACUUCAAACAAAUAUUGUCAAUUAGUGAGUUUCACAAAUGAUUAUACAUCAUAGGACGACAAAAAACCAACAAGCUAAGACUGAAUGACUUGCCAAGAAUUUCAUUCCUAUGUUGAUACAUACAUCUGAAAUGAAACCCAAUGAAUUGAUUGUUGAGGCACUUGAUAAAUAGGGUGCAAAGUUAUCUAUAUACCAAGCAUAUAGAGCCAAAGUAAGAGUCAUAAAAAUGAUUCAAUGUGUUUGAAGGGAGCAAUAUGCACACUUGAGAGAAUAUGUUGAUCAACUGAGGAGAUCAAAUCCAAACUCUACAAUUAUUAUUAUUAAGUGUAGUAUGUUUGAUGUUGGAUCAGUUUUAGAGAAAAUAUAUGUAAGUUUGGAGGCUUGUAAGGUUGCGUUUGCUAAUGCAUGCAUGCCUUUAAUUGAGUUAGAUGCUUGUUUCUUGAAGAGAGAAUAUGGUGGCCAGUCAAUCGUUGUAGUAGGUAAAUAUGGGAAUAAUCAGAUGAUUCCCAUUGCAUAUGCAAUUGUAUAUGCGGAAACAAGAGACUUGUGACAAUGGUUUAUGGAUAUUUUAUUAAAUGACGUCAACAAUGUUCAGUAUUGGCAAUAUGCAUUCAUUUCAUAUCAGCAAAAAGUACGUAUACCCUCAUUUAUGAAUAUUUUUUAUAUUUGUCGAUUUAUUUAAUUUUUUUGUGAAUUGAUUUAUAUGUAACGACUUUUUAUGAAUUGAUUUUAGGGGCUGGUACUUGUUAUUGCCAACAUUAGGGCUCAUGCAGAACACAUUAUAUGUUAAACACUUAUAUGAAAAGUGGGAGAAAAAAAGUAUCCUAGAGGAUAAAUGAAAGAACUUGUUUGGUUGGUAACAAGGGCUAUGGUGGCCCAUGAUUGGAAAGAAAGCAAUGCAAAAAACUAAGAUGCUUGGAAAAACAUGAUGCAACUCCCACAUUCUAUGUGCACUAAGUCUGCAUUUCGCACUGAUACGCAAUGUGACCUCCAAGUAAAAAACAUGUGUGAAGCAAAGACAACAAGCGUUGGAGGAGAUGAGGGAGAAACACCAACUAUUUUAUCUUAGGGUUCACAAGCUCCACAAACUAAAGAUUCACAAAUCAAUUAAUGGAACCAAAUUUGUGAAAUGUAUUUUGAUUAUUAUGAAUGUGUAAUGAUGGAACGAGACUUGAGGAUUUUAUUUUGUAAUGUAAUAGUAUGUAUGACCUCUUUUUUGAACCAAAACUGUAUUUGGUAAUGUCUUUGUUUGUAAUGGUUUUUCUGGGUGUAACAUAAGUUAUGCUUAUUUUGUUCUAGUUGAAAUGUGAAAUUCUAGUUGUAGUAAAAUUUGGUUGCAUGAAAUUAUUUGUUUAUACAGAAGAAACAAUUAACUCUACACAAAUGCUAUAACAUGAAACUAUAAGUUCUGUUUAUUUUGUUUUGCUUGUUUGAGCAAAGUGCAUUAAUAUUAGACAACUACAUUAUAUCUUGAAUGAUAUCAAACUAGUGCAAAUUUGUUUUAUCAAAUUGCAUUAAUAGAAUGAUACCAAACUGAAUUAUUAAGAUGCAAAAAUAGACAAUGACACCAAUUUGAUUUCACAAUAACAACCUUAUUCAUUCACAUUUGAUUUGAUUAGACCAUUGCAUUACAAUUUAAACCCUAAACACUAUAUUAUGCAAUUACAUUACACAAUGACAUUACAAUUUAAACCAUAAACACUAUAUUAUGCAAUUACAUUACACUUUACAUAAUUACACAAUGAAAUUACAAUUUAAACCCUAAACACUAUAUUAUAGUAUAACUAUUAAACCCUAAAUCACACCAUUAGAAAAACCACAUCAGUAGACAACACCCUAAAUUGCAUCAUUAAAUAUUAUCUUUAAUCCAAUCCUUUUAAUUACUUCAACAUUACAAUAAGCAAAAGAACAAUGAUCAAUAGCCAUGAAAGUACCAGAAAACCCUCAAUUAGUUUCAUCUUCAACUUCAGUUCAUUAUACUUCUUUGUCACAUUGUCUUUCUUCUUGAACUCAUCAAUCAACCUUUUCAUAAGAGAGAGAAAAUAAUUUAUUUUGCUUGUUUUGUCAUUGGCUAAUCAAACCAAUCAAAUAAAUUGUAAGCUUUUUUUACCUUGUAACUAAAACUACAUAGCAAAAAAAAAAAAGGAUUGAAUCUUCAUUCAAUGAUUUUUCAUAAUCUUAAAACAAUAGAGCAAAAAAAAUCAAGAAUCUUGACGAAAUGUUUUUCCAAAAUAUUGACAAAUAGUUGUCUUUUAAAAACCCCAACCAUGAAAUCUUCAGCCUAAAUUUUCAGUGGUUCAAGAAGUACACAAAGGAGAUUUAAGUCCACAUAAACAUUAUUUCCUUCUAAUUCUCAAAUGAGAAUUGUUGCUUGUAACUGAAUAUGAACGGGAAAACAUUUUUUUUUCCUCAAAAAAUACAAAAUUGAGGAAGAAGAAACGAACCACAACCAAUGCACAACAAGAACCAUAAACGAAGCAAAAUCGUCUAUGGUUCAAUUGGUAGUGGGAAUGAAUGGAUGUCGGUACUUAUCUCUCAAGAGAAAAAUAAAAUGGAGGGAACUAUUUUCGUUAUCCAACUAAAAUAGGAGGACCAACCAAAACUGCAAUUAAGUCUUAUAUUUAUCAAUGAUAAAUAUUUGUCUUGUGUUUUUUUAAUAUCUAUCAAUGACAAAUAUUUGUCUGAUGAUUUUUACGUACGAAUGACAAAAUAUUUGUCAUGUACUUUUUUGCAUUAGUUAUAAAUAUGUAUCUCACAUUUUUUUUAUAUCAAUGACAAAUAUUUAUCAUGUGUUGUUAUAUAUAAGUGACAAAUAUAUAUCUCAUAAUUUUUUAUAUUUAUGGUUGUCAAAUAGAGUGUUCACAUCCAAAUCGAUAAAAAAACGAAAACUCCUCAAAAUUUAAUUUUAUUCGAUGUAUUUGAAUAUUUACUGAUUGUUCGCGUUAAUUCACAUUAUUGUUGCUUUAAUGCAUCAGCUAGUAUUUCGACUUUACAGAACAAUUAUGUUCACUUACAGAAUUUUUUUUUUUUACAGUUUUAUACUUCAUUUUUAGUUUUUUUCAAUUUGUUUAAUUGCAUAUCUUUUUGCAGUUUUGCUGCAGUUUUUUUUCUUCCAGUUUUAAGUAUUAAUUACUUUCUUCUUCCCUAUUAAUGAUCCAAUAAAAAAGUUAAUUAGGACAAUAAUGUAAUUUUGUUAGUGCUUAUUAUUCUUGAAUUGAUAGUUCAUAUGUUUUGACUAUGCUAUAUUUCUUUUUUAUGUUCACCUUAAAAAUAUAAGGUGAGAGGAUGAUGUUAUUGUUUAAAGUAAUAACUACAUUUUAAUUUAUUGAGCAUCUACAGAGAAAAAAAUUAUAUUUGAGGAAUCAAUAUUUGUCUUUUAUCACAAAGACCAAACCAUCAGAAUUAACUAUUUUAUUUUUAUUUUUUUGUUGCCUCACUUUAAUCUCUUCAUUCUAUUUCCCUUCAUUAAAUUAUAAAUGUUAUGCAUGAAAGUGUUUUCUAUGGGCACUUUAUAUAGCUCCAUCUAAUUUGUCUUUCUUUUUAUACGUGAAUGUCAAUAGUUAUGAUUUCUGGCCUUCCCGAAAAAAUUCCAUUAUUGCAUUAAAUGUCUGUAUCAAACCAACCAUCAGCAUCCAUAGUAAAGAUUUGGGUAUGUCUAUCCAAGGACAAGCUUCCCUUUGCUUCAGAGGAAUCAAGAACAAUAUGAAAAACUCUUUAUGAAUGAUGUUUGCAUAUGUCAUAAGAAGGAUUAAUUUGUGGUAGAGUGUCGCCAAUUCCUAAAAUGAUCAAAGGAAAAACUAGAAUGACGAAUCACCCAAAUGAAUAAUUGAAUAUUAAUCUUUGUAGGAAAAAUAAAUAAAUAAAACUAUAUGUGAUUCCUUAUUUGAAGCUUAAUAUCAAGAGGAAGUUGAGUAUGAGACGAUUAAAAUACUAAAACAACUCUCAUUUAAGUUACUUGUUGUGUCUACUACUUUUUUUUAAUGAUAUAUGUUUUGAUAAUUUUCCUUUUGAAUAUAAAAAUUUAUCUUUUAAAAAGAAAAUAAAAGAAAUUUAAAAUCCAGUUUCAAACUCCAAAUCUAAUCAAAGUUUAAAAUUGAAAAGCUAAUUUUUUUUUUUUAAUUUAGAUUCUAUGACUUAAAGUAAAACUUUCAACGCAACAAGAGACAUAACACUGGAAGAAAAAAAGAUCAGAAAUGUAACGUGAAAGUAGUGUCAUUAAAAAAAAAAACAAUGUUAAGUUUGAAGGGAGGUGUUUGACAUGGAAAAAUAUAGAAGGUUAGUGUAUAGUUAAAAAUUAGAGGGAUGUUUGUAUUUUUUAAGAAGAAGUCAUGGGAAGUGAAUCUAAAUUUCCUUAAAUUUAAAUAUAUUAUCAAACACAAACUUAUGCAGACUAUUUGAGUUUAAUAGGACUGGUCCAUUACUGGAUCAGUCUAUUGCAAGAUCGAGCUAGAAAGCUUUCUUAUAACUUAGACUCAAAAUUUAAUGAGAGUGGUUUAUCCCACAGUAGUCUGCCAAAACCCUCCAAAAAACCUCUCACUGGAUCCUAUGAAUUGGUUCAUAAUUUACCCGAUUCAUGCAUCUGAUAAUUAAUUUAUGUAAAAAUACCCCUACCAAGAUCUCACUAUUGUUCCAUAAUUAUGUCACUUUGACUUGUUUCGCAUUUGCACCUAGAGGUUUCACAACUUUUAUCUUCACGUCCAACUUGCAUCUAGCUCUCACAUUUCUUGAAAUAUGAUACCGACACAGUAAAGUAGUAAAAGUUAGAAAAAUCUUUGCAAAUCAUUCAUCAAUGCAAUAUCUCUAUUAGUCACAAUCAUCUUGGGAAUCUUAUCUCCAAACUUCAACAAAUUACGACACAUCUCUAAAACUCAAGUGAAAUUAUCCUCGUUUUCAAACUUGAGAAAAACAAGCUCAAUUGAAUGUCACACCAACAAUCUCAAACAAUUGGAUUUCAUACUGAUUAUCCUCCUGUUGAAGUCACACCAACGAUCUCAAACAAUGACAUUUCAUACUGAUUUAUUUUAUAAGUCGAGUCCAUCAACAACAUUGUUGGAAAAGUGUUAAACAACUUGAAUGAUUUAGAAUGAGACCAAUAAAUUUCAUAGAUUUUAGUUUCAGACUUAUUAAUCAUUCUAUAUCUAUAUACAUAUUUGUGAUCAUCCAAACAUUUCACACGUAUGUUGCACUUCUGAUAUUGGACUUCUUAUUGUCUUAUAGGCAACCAUUGGAGAUGAGCAAUUUUCAAAUUUAAUCUGAAAGCCAUAUUUGUCAAACUUUCUGGGUUGGUUCUUUAGAGUUAGUCCAUUUGAAGGGAUAGAUUGGGUAAUUUUGUCAUUUCUGGUAAAAAUUAAUAAAUUUGCAAUAACAAUAGAACCGGUAAUAAAUAAUCUAAAUAAUCUAAUGACGUGUCACUUAGUCGAUGGCUGAAAAUCUGCCACAAGCCAUAUCGUGCACAUUGUCUCUGCCGUGCAAAAAUAGAAUGGAUUUGGAUAAUAAUAAUUCGGAAAAAAUAUAUCCUCUCAUCUCUAUUCUGUGACGACAGAAGCUGAAGCUGAAGCCUGACUAGUGAGAAGCGUCUCUCGUGCACGAAGCUUCUCAUCCAUGGCGAAGACACUCAUUUCAUCUCCAUCGUUCAUCGCCACGCCGCUUCCUUCACUUCACCGCAAUUUCUCACCUCAUCGCACUAGGCUAGUCACAAAGGUUCACUUCAGCUUCCACCAACUUCCCCCAAUUCAAUCCAUAAGUCAUUCCGUUGACUUUGCCGGAAUCGUUUCAAGGGCUGAAGGUCUUCUUUACACGCUCGCCGACGCUACUGUUGCGGCGGAUGCUGCGAAUUCCGCUGAUGCUUCUGUGCAGAAGAACGGAGGUUGGUUCGGCUUCAU